AGUCGAACGGUAACAUUUCUAGCUUGCUAGAAGAUGACGAGUGGCGGACGGGUGAGUAAUGCUUGGGGACUUGCCUUUGCGAGGGGGAUAACAGUUGGAAACGACUGCUAAUACCGCAUAAUGUCUUCGGACCAAACGGGGCCUUUAGCUCCGGCGCAAAGAGAGGCCCAAGUGAGAUUAGCUAGUUGGUAAGGUAACGGCUUACCAAGGCGACGAUCUCUAGCUGUUCUGAGAGGAAGAUCAGCCACACUGGGACUGAGACACGGCCCAGACUCCUACGGGAGGCAGCAGUGGGGAGUAUUGCACAAUGGGGGAAACCCUGAUGCAGCCAUGCCGCGUGUGUGAAGAAGGCCUUCGGGUUGUAAAGCACUUUCAGUUGUGAGGAAAAGUUAGUAGUUAAUACCUGCUAGCCGUGACGUUAACAACAGAAGAAGCACCGGCUAACUCCGUGCCAGCAGCCGCGGUAAUACGGAGGGUGCGAGCGUUAAUCGGAAUUACUGGGCGUAAAGCGCACGCAGGCGGUUUGUUAAGCUAGAUGUGAAAGCCCCGGGCUCAACCUG
RNAcentral lists this ribosomal RNA (560 nucleotides) under uncultured Alteromonas sp. RNAcentral's name for it is "bacterial SSU rRNA". It matches the Rfam family "Bacterial small subunit ribosomal RNA", at positions 60 to 616 of the family's 1533-position model. Lineage: Bacteria; Pseudomonadati; Pseudomonadota; Gammaproteobacteria; Alteromonadales; Alteromonadaceae. The record is from RNAcentral.